AACCCCGGGCAACGUUUCACGUUGCUCAUAAAUUAACCGGGGUUAACGAUUAAUCCUGGCUGGGUGUUCAUAAACUGGUGUUUCACACUGUACAUUCCUAAACCAUGGGUUCUUAUUUGCAUAUUUACGGUGUCAGUGUUAUUUGAUUGGAUGAACGCAGCACGCGCAGCUCUAGCAUUACCGACUGUACUAGCAAGAAUGGACAUUUCGGACUAUAAAAGGCGGAUGAAGAACUGGUCAUGUAGCCUACCCGUGUUCCACUGCCAUGGAUGAUGUCCUCUGGAGUCUCAUAUAUCUGACUUUCCAUCUGCACAGUUUGUUUCUUCUCAUGAGACACUUUCACCCGCAGAAUACGGAAAUUAGAGCCGCCCAGAUCCAAGGCAAUGAAAUCUCCUUUUUCUGUUGGAUAAGGUGUCUGAGAGUGUGAAGAUUCGUAAUACUGUAAAUUCAGCAUCAAAAAAGUGUUUCACCUCCUCUCCUGUGCCCUGCAUGAUCUCCAGUGGGAUGGCAUAAAUCUUGUUGUACAUCCGGACUGAAUUCCGCAUACCAGUACGAAUCUUAACCACCAACACACGGAAAUUGGUUCCACCAAGAUCCAAGGCAAGGUCAUCAUGGCCCCCACCGUGUCAUUGACCAUAGCCAGGACAUCCACGUCAAGAUCCUUCACACACACAACAGAAAAUGGAGACUAUGGAUUCUUAAGAGGCAGCCACACUACACUUUUCAUUCCAUUGACUUCCAUUUUUACGCAUGUGAAUGCGGAAGACAGGAAAUGCAAGCUCAAGUGAAGAAGAUGUAUAUAUUGCAUGUACUGCAUAUAUUGACCUCUGAUGUAUCAGAGGUCAAUAUAUGCAGAUUAUAAAGUGUUUUAGGUUCUUCUCAACAUGCACUUACAUGAUGUACUAUAUACCAAAUAUAAUGCUGUUUGAACCAUUUAUGUUAAAUAUGCUCUAAAAAUUCUACAGAAAUGUUUGGAAAUAUGAGUCUGGAAAAGUAUGGAAUUUUAAAAUAUGAAAAAUUUGUAGGUGAACUCAGGUGCAGUCACAAUUACCGUUGCUCUGCAAAUUUUUAUGGGCAAAAUCCAUUUUUUUAAUAGGAAUUCACGUGAUCUGGAAUUUCAUGUCAGGGUGAAAACAUUCCACAUGCAGAUUUCGCAACAGCUUCAAGCAUCACAUGAAUUUGCAAUGUUGUCAAAUGGAAAGCUGCUUGGUUUGAAAGUUGCUACACUAUUGAUAAUAGACAAUGGAAGUUUUUUGCCUGUGAAAUUUUGCUAAUGUGACCGUAUCAUUAAGAACUCAAUUGCAAGUAGAAGUCAUGAACAUGAAUCACCAAUACCAGCUGACUACUGUGUUAUGACUUCUACUUGGAGUAGCACCAGUUGGUUUCUACUUUAUUUUGUU
Megalobrama amblycephala (Wuchang bream) is the source of this 1400-nucleotide long non-coding RNA. RefSeq lists it as uncharacterized. The record is from RefSeq and is a predicted model, not a curated record. The transcript is spliced from 5 exons. NCBI's taxonomy places the organism in Eukaryota, Metazoa, Chordata, Actinopteri, Cypriniformes, Xenocyprididae.